RNAcentral lists this small nucleolar RNA (245 nucleotides) under Pelusios castaneus (West African mud turtle). Its description in RNAcentral is "Small nucleolar RNA SNORD17 (ENSPCEG00000019924.1)". It matches the Rfam family "Small nucleolar RNA SNORD17". Rfam says of the family: The snoRNA HBI-43 belongs to the C/D family of snoRNAs, guiding 2'O-ribose methylation at position U3797 of the 28S rRNA. Pseudouridylation in position U3797 is predicted to be guided by the H/ACA snoRNA ACA48. The record is from Rfam by way of RNAcentral. Lineage: Eukaryota; Metazoa; Chordata; Testudines; Pelomedusidae.
GUGAAGUGAUGAUGAAGUUUAUCCAUUCUCUGAGUGCCGCUGCUCUGCCCUCCCUGCAGCACCUUGAUUCCUGUGCUAGGAUCUCUGUGCUGGGCAGCCUCCAGAUAUCCUCUAGCCUUCCAGUGUUUUACUGGUGGCUGCUGGCAUGUCUGGCUGGCUGUGCAGGAAUGGGGCAGAGCCAGCAGGGUAGGAGCCUUCUCCAGGGGGCUCCGCCUCAACCAAGACGAAUGAUGCUGUCUGAUCAC